GACAUCCACAGAACUUUCCAGAGAUGGAUUGGUGCCUUCGGGAACUGUGAGACAGGUGCUGCAUGGCUGUCGUCAGCUCGUGUUGUGAAAUGUUGGGUUAAGUCCCGCAACGAGCGCAACCCUUAUCCUUUGUUGCCAGCGGUCCGGCCGGGAACUCAAAGGAGACUGCCAGUGAUAAACUGGAGGAAGGUGGGGAUGACGUCAAGUCAUCAUGGCCCUUACGACCAGGGCUACACACGUGCUACAAUGGCGCAUACAAAGAGAAGCGACCUCGCGAGAGCAAGCGGACCUCAUAAAGUGCGUCGUAGUCCGGAUUGGAGUCUGCAACUCGACUCCAUGAAGUCGGAAUCGCUAGUAAUCGUGGAUCAGAAUGCCACGGUGAAUACGUUCCCGGGUCUUGUACUCACCGCCCGUCACACCAUGGGAGUGGGUUGCAAAAGAAGUAGGUAGCUUAACCU
RNAcentral lists this ribosomal RNA (458 nucleotides) under Campylobacter molothri. Its description in RNAcentral is "partial 16S ribosomal RNA". It matches the Rfam family "Bacterial small subunit ribosomal RNA", at positions 983 to 1441 of the family's 1533-position model. The record is from RNAcentral. Lineage: Bacteria; Pseudomonadati; Campylobacterota; Epsilonproteobacteria; Campylobacterales; Campylobacteraceae. RNAcentral also lists the same sequence under 1 other name.